AUGGAAAAUAGAAAUACUUUUUCUUGGGUAAAGGAACAGAUAACUCGAUCGAUUUCUGUAGCGAUCAUGAUAUACGUAAUAACUCGGACAUCUAUUUCAAAUGCAUAUCCCAUUUUUGCGCAGCAGGGUUAUGAAAACACACGAGAAGCAACUGGACGAAUUGUAUGUGCCAAUUGCCAUUUAGCUAGCAAGCCCGUCGAUAUUGAAGUUCCCCAAGCUGUGCUUCCCGAUACUGUAUUUGAAGCAGUUCUUCGAAUUCCUUAUGAUAUGCAAUUGAAACAAGUUCUUGCUAAUGGAAAAAGGGAGGGUUGA
Molecule: ribosomal RNA, 312 nt
Filed under: Triticum aestivum (bread wheat)
Lineage: Eukaryota; Viridiplantae; Streptophyta; Magnoliopsida; Poales; Poaceae
Description: partial small subunit ribosomal RNA
Source: RNAcentral